Molecule: ribosomal RNA, 253 nt
Filed under: uncultured bacterium
Lineage: Bacteria
Description: partial 16S ribosomal RNA
Rfam family: Bacterial small subunit ribosomal RNA
Source: RNAcentral
GACAGAGGAUGCAAGCGUUAUCCGGAAUGAUUGGGCGUAAAGGGUGCGUAGGCGGCGCGGUAAGUCGGGUGUGAAAUCUCGGAGCUUAACUCCGAAACUGCAUUCGAUACUGCCGUGCUUGAGGACUGGAGAGGAGACUGGAAUUUACGGUGUAGCGGUGAAAUGCGUAGAUAUCGUAAGGAAGACCAGUGGCGAAGGCGGGUCUCUGGACAGUUCCUGACGCUGAGGCACGAAGGUCAGGGGAGCAAACGGG